Molecule: ribosomal RNA, 492 nt
Filed under: uncultured bacterium
Lineage: Bacteria
Description: partial 16S ribosomal RNA
Rfam family: Bacterial small subunit ribosomal RNA
Source: RNAcentral
AGUGAACGCUGGCGGUAGGCCUAACACAUGCAAGUCGAACGGCAGCACAGUAAGAGCUUGCUCUUACGGGUGGCGAGUGGCGGACGGGUGAGGAAUACAUCGGAAUCUACUUUUUCGUGGGGGAUAACGUAGGGAAACUUACGCUAAUACCGCAUACGACCUACGGGUGAAAGCAGGGGAUCUUCGGACCUUGCGCGAUUGAAUGAGCCGAUGUCGGAUUAGCUAGUUGGCGGGGUAAAGGCCCACCAAGGCGACGAUCCGUAGCUGGUGUGAGAGGAUGAUAGGCGACACGGGAGGGGAGACACGCUCCAGACUCCUACGAGAGGCAGCAGUGGGGAAUAUUGGACAAUGGGCGCAAGCAUGAUCCAGUGAUACCGCGUGGGUGAAGAAGGCCUUGGGGUUGUAAAGCCCGUUUGUUGGGAAAGAAAAGCAGCCGGUUAAUACCCCGCUGUUCUGACGGUACCCAAAGAAUAAGCACCGGCUAACUUCGUG